GUGACCCCAGMUAUGGCGAGC
This 21-nucleotide ribosomal RNA is filed under the name Calamus conirostris. Its description in RNAcentral is "partial 26S ribosomal RNA". The record is from RNAcentral. Lineage: Eukaryota; Viridiplantae; Streptophyta; Magnoliopsida; Arecales; Arecaceae.